This is a regulatory RNA element of Finegoldia magna ATCC 29328, 38 nucleotides long. It matches the Rfam family "Selenocysteine insertion sequence 4". NCBI's taxonomy places the organism in Bacteria, Bacillati, Bacillota, Tissierellia, Tissierellales, Peptoniphilaceae. The record is from Rfam.
GGUACAUGUACUCGCUGCGGUGCAGCGAUGGUAAAUGU